This 301-nucleotide ribosomal RNA is filed under the name uncultured bacterium. Its description in RNAcentral is "partial 16S ribosomal RNA". It matches the Rfam family "Bacterial small subunit ribosomal RNA", at positions 509 to 807 of the family's 1533-position model. The record is from RNAcentral.
CAGCAGCCGCGGUAAUACGUAGGGCGCAAGCGUUGUCCGGAAUUAUUGGGCGUAAAGAGCUCGUAGGCGGUCUGUCGCGUCUGGUGUGAAAUCCCGAGGCUCAACCUCGGGCUUGCAUCGGGUACGGGCAGACUAGAGUGCGGUAGGGGAGACUGGAAUUCCUGGUGUAGCGGUGGAAUGCGCAGAUAUCAGGAGGAACACCGAUGGCGAAGGCAGGUCUCUGGGCCGCAACUGACGCUGAGGAGCGAAAGCAUGGGGAGCGAACAGGAUUAGAGACCCCAGUAGUCCCUGUCUCUUAUAC